AGUGAACGCUGGCGGUAGGCCUAACACAUGCAAAUCGAACGGCAGCACAGGAGAGCUUGCUCUCUGGGUGGCGAGUGGCGGACGGGUGAGGAAUACAUCGGAAUCUACUCUGUCGUGGGGGAUAACGUAGGGAAACUUACGCUAAUACCGCAUACGACCUACGGGUGAAAGCAGGGGAACUUCGGGCCUUGCGCGAUUGAAUGAGCCGAUGUCGGAUUAGCUAGUUGGCGGGGUAAAGGCCCACCAAGGCGACGAUCCGUAGCUGGUCUGAGAGGAUGAUCAGCCACACUGGAACGGAGACACGGUCCCGACUCCUACGGGAGGCAGCAGUGGGGAAUAUUGGACAAUGGGCGCAAGCCUGAUCCAGCCAUACCGCGUGGGUGAAGAAGGCCUUCGGGUUGUAAAGCCCUUUUGUUGGGAAAGAAAUCCAGCUGGCUAAUACCCGGUUGGGAUGACGGUACCCAAAGAAUAAGCACCGGCUAACUUCGUGCCAGCCGCCGCAGUAA
This 506-nucleotide ribosomal RNA is filed under the name uncultured bacterium. RNAcentral's name for it is "partial 16S ribosomal RNA". It matches the Rfam family "Bacterial small subunit ribosomal RNA", at positions 29 to 523 of the family's 1533-position model. The record is from RNAcentral.